CGGAGGAUCCAAGCGUUAUCCGGAUUUAUUGGGUUUAAAGGGUGCGUAGGCGGCUUUUUAAGUCAGGGGUGAAAGACGGUGGCUCAACCAUCGCAGUGCCCUUGAUACUGAAGAGCUUGAAUAUACUAGAGGUAGGCGGAAUGUGACAAGUAGCGGUGAAAUGCAUAGAUAUGUCACAGAACACCAAUUGCGAAGGCAGCUUACUAUGGUAUUAUUGACGCUGAGGCACGAAAGCGUGGGGAUCAAACAGGAUUAGAUACCCUGGUAGUCCACGCCCUAAACGAUGAACACUCGAUGUUAGCGAUAUACAGUUAGCGUCUAAGCGAAAGCGUUAAGUGUUCCACCUGGGGAGUACGCCCGCAAGGGUG
RNAcentral lists this ribosomal RNA (368 nucleotides) under uncultured organism. RNAcentral describes it as "bacterial SSU rRNA". It matches the Rfam family "Bacterial small subunit ribosomal RNA", at positions 526 to 896 of the family's 1533-position model. The record is from RNAcentral.